GAGUGGGGGAUAACGUAGCGAAAGUUGCGCUAAUACCGCAUAUUCUGUGAGCAGGAAAGCGGGGGACCGCAAGGCCUUGCGCUCUUUGAGCGGCCGAUGUCAGAUUAGCUAGUUGGUGAGGUAAAGGCUUACCAAGGCGACGAUCUGUAGCGGGUCUGAGAGGAUGAUCCGCCACACUGGAACUGAGACACGGUCCAGACUCCUACGGGAGGCAGCAGUGGGGAAUUCUGGACAAUGGGGGCAACCCUGAUCCAGCCAUGCCGCGUGAGUGAAGAAGGCCCUCGGGUUGUAAAGCUCUUUCGGCCGGGAAGAAAUCGCAUGGGCCAAUACCCUGUGUGGAUGACGGUACCGGAAUAAGAAGCACCGGCUAACUACGUGCCAGCAGCCGCGGUAAUACGUAGGGUGCGAGCGUUAAUCGGAAUUACUGGGCGUAAAGCGUGCGCAGGCGGUUUUGUAAGACAGGCGUGAAAUCCCCGGGCUUAACCUGGGAACUGCGUUUGUGACUGCAAGGCUAGAGUACGGCAGAGGGGGGUGGAAUUCCACGUGUAGCAGUGAAAUGCGUAGAGAUGUGGAGGAACACCAAUGGCGAAGGCAGCCCCCUGGGUCGAUACUGACGCUCAUGCACGAAAGCGUGGGUAGCAAACAGGAUUAGAUACCCUGGUAGUCCACGCCCUAAACUAUGUCAACUAGGUGUUGGGUGGGUAAAACCAUUUAGUACCGUAGCUAACGCGUGAAGUUGACCGCCUGGGGAGUACGGCCGCAAGGUUAAAACUCAAAGGAAUUGACGGGGACCCGCACAAGCGGUGGAUGAUGUGGAUUAAUUCGAUGCAACGCGAAAAACCUUACCUACCCUUGACAUGCCAGGAACUUGCCAGAGAUGGCUUGGUGCCCGAAAGGGAGCCUGGACACAGGUGCUGCAUGGCUGUCGUCAGCUCGUGUCGUGGGAUGUUGGGUUAAGUCCCGCAACGAGCGCAACCCUUGUCGUUAAUUGCCAUCAUUUAGUUGGGCACUUUAACGAGACUGCCGGUGACAAACCGGAGGAAGGUGGGGAUGACGUCAAGUCCUCAUGGCCCUUAUGGGUAGGGCUUCACACGUCAUACAAUGGUCGGUACAAAGGGUUGCCAAGCCGCGAGGCGGAGCCAAUCCCAGAAAGCCGAUCGUAGUCCGGAUUGCAGGCUGCAACUCGCCUGCAUGAAGUCGGAAUCGCUAGUAAUCGUGGAUCAGCAUGUCACGGUGAAUACGUUCCCGGGUCUUGUACACACCGCCCGUCACACCAUGGGAGCGGGUUCCGCCAGAAGUAGGUAGCCUAACCGCAAGGGGGGCGCUUACCA
RNAcentral lists this ribosomal RNA (1331 nucleotides) under metagenome. RNAcentral describes it as "bacterial SSU rRNA". It matches the Rfam family "Bacterial small subunit ribosomal RNA", at positions 134 to 1459 of the family's 1533-position model. The record is from RNAcentral.